AGAGUUUGAUCCUGGCUCAGCUCGAACGCUGGCGGCAUGGUUAAAACAUGCAAGUCGAAGGAGAAGCCUCUUCGGAGGUGGACACUGGCGAAAGGGCGAGUAAUGCAUUCGAACGUGCCCCAAGGUGGAGGAUAGUGUCGGGAAACUGGCAGUAAUACUCCAUGUGCUCUACGGAGGAAAGCUUCGGCGCCUCGGGAGCGGCGAAUGUCCUAUCAGGUUGUUGGUGAGGUAACGGCUCACCAAGCCAAAGACGGGUAGCGGGUGUGAGAGCAUGACCCGCCGCAUCGGAACUGAGACACUGUCCGGACUCCUACGGGAGGCUGCAGUAACGAAUCUUCCGCAAUGCACGCAAGUGUGACGGAGCAAUGCCGCGUGUGGGAUGAAGCGGCUUCGCCGUGUAAACCACUGUCAGGUCCUAGAAAGAACUGAUCGGGACCAAAGGAAGGGCCGGCUAAUCUCGUGCCAGCAGCCGCGGUAAUACGAGAGGCCCGAGCGUUGAGCGGAAUCACUGGGCUUAAAGGGUGCGUAGGCUGAUUGGAAGGUAUCUUGUGAAAUCCCACAGCUCAACUGUGGAACUGCAG
RNAcentral lists this ribosomal RNA (581 nucleotides) under uncultured Planctomycetota bacterium. RNAcentral describes it as "bacterial SSU rRNA". It matches the Rfam family "Bacterial small subunit ribosomal RNA", at positions 8 to 626 of the family's 1533-position model. Lineage: Bacteria; Pseudomonadati; Planctomycetota. The record is from RNAcentral.